AUAAUUUGUUAUGCUUACUGCAAAGACUUAGAUCGCUGCUUGGUCUGGCAGUGCUUCUAAAAGCGGUCAGCGUUCAGGGUCAAGCAAGCGCUGGCGAUAGAAAACAGCACAUGCUGUUAAUGGAAGCAUAGAGUAGCAUCUGUACUAGUUAAAGCCAAGAACUAGCUAAAAUAAUAAAUGAGUUUGGCAAUUUAUUUAAGCAUUUGCUGCGUAAUUUUUAUAAUUGCGAGCAGUGCAGCUUUGGUCAAACUGAAGUGAACGAAAAUUGCCGCAAGCUAAGUAAUCUAACUGUAGAUGACGUGCUAAAAUAUUGGAGACGUAAGCCUCGCAUUAAUGUUAUAUGCUAUGCGCGUUGCCUGUUCGAGCCGAUUUUGGGCGCUGAUGAAAAACUGAAUCUAACGCAUGUUCAAGCUCAAACUAAUUGGCGUGGACAUUUUAGCAUUUUGCAUAUAUGCGCUUACUAUUGGAAAGAUUUUGAUCAGACCACGCCCAAUACGCCCAAAUGUUUGUAUGCACACUUAGUGCUUAAUUGCCUGCAUGCGUAUUUUGAUAAUCAAGAUGAAUUUAAUGCACGCUACAAUGGCACAGAAAGCAAGUUAAUUCAAUAAAGUAAUGCCCAACACACACACACACACGCACAAAAAGCUUUUUAUGCAUUGCUUGUGUUAUAAAUUUAAAUCGAAUUAUAUUUGGAUAAACAAUAUUCAAAGCAAGCGCAAUGCAAAAAUUUUUAAUUGAGCAUAAAGUUCAAACGUGUGUGAGAGCUUUAUAAUUAUAAAAUAGCUAACAUAGAUAUUGAAAUUCCUUUUUGACACAUGU
Long non-coding RNA from Drosophila busckii, 819 nucleotides. RefSeq lists it as uncharacterized. The transcript is spliced from 3 exons. Lineage: Eukaryota; Metazoa; Arthropoda; Insecta; Diptera; Drosophilidae. The record is from RefSeq and is a predicted model, not a curated record.